AUGGGAACCAACACCGCUGUGGAUCUAUUGCGUUCUCUUUUAGGAGAGGAAAUCGGCCUAUGGUGGUUUUUUCCGGGUUUUUUGUUUUUUAAAUCUGGCGUCCACUCAGGGGCAAAAAAGGAUCUUUGGAGAAUUACGGAAGAAGAGUCAGAAACAUACCAGUCCAGAUCUAAACAAGAUUCUUCAUCAAGCAGAAUUCUGUACAACGCGAAAGCUUGCAUAUCGCCCCAUUCCUCUUUCUGUAUUCUGAGAGACCCUCAGAGUUACCAUGAAAAUCAUGUAAGCCCUUAUGUAAUAACAAACCAGUAGUUUUCAGUGAGUAUUAUGUAAAAAUCUAUUAUCACUUCAUUUUCUCUACUUUAAAACGGCUCAGUCCUUCUUACAGCCAAAGGGGACUCCAAUACAGUGAAUGUACAGUUUUUGGUGUUAGACUUUACUUAUGAUGCCAUAUUUGUUUGGUCUCAGGCGGGUGGACAGACAGACUCCGUCUCUACCACCCUGUGCAGUUUUGUGCGAGAGCAGCUAGG
RNAcentral lists this long non-coding RNA (527 nucleotides) under Pogona vitticeps (central bearded dragon). RNAcentral's name for it is "lncRNA (ENSPVIG00000013409.1)". The record is from RNAcentral. Lineage: Eukaryota; Metazoa; Chordata; Lepidosauria; Squamata; Agamidae.